GGGGAAUAUUGCACAAUGGAGGGAACUCUGAUGCAGCAACGCCGCGUGCGGGAUGACGGCCUUCGGGUUGUAAACCGCUUUCAGCAGGGACGAAACUGACGGUACCUGCAGAAGAAGCACCGGCUAACUACGUGCCAGCAGCCGCGGUGAUACGUAGGGUGCGAGCGUUGUCCGGAAUUAUUGGGCGUAAAGAGCUCGUAGGCGGUCUGUCGCGUCGGAAGUGAAAACUCGGGGCUCAACCCCGAGCCUGCUUUCGAUACGGGCAGACUUGAGGAAUGUAGGGGAGAACGGAAUUCCUGGUGGAGCGGUGGAAUGCGCAGAUAUCAGGAGGAACACCAGUGGCGAAGGCGGUUCUCUGGACAUUAACUGACGCUGAGGAGCGAAAGCGUGGGGAGCAAACA
This 401-nucleotide ribosomal RNA is filed under the name uncultured Micropruina sp. Its description in RNAcentral is "bacterial SSU rRNA". It matches the Rfam family "Bacterial small subunit ribosomal RNA", at positions 356 to 774 of the family's 1533-position model. Lineage: Bacteria; Bacillati; Actinomycetota; Actinomycetes; Propionibacteriales; Nocardioidaceae. The record is from RNAcentral.